GUCUGUAACCUGUAACUAGCCUGGGGAGAGACAUGUUGUCUGUAACCUGUAACUAGCCUGGGGAGAGACAUGUUGUCUGUAACCUGUAACUAGCCUGGGGAGAGACAUGUUGUCUGUAACCUGUAACUAGCCUAGGGAGAGACCUGGCUGGCUUGCUUUAUUUAAAUGAAUGUAAUACACAUUGUUAUAUCCUUCUGGUUAAAUCCCAAAUGGCACCCUAUUCCCUACAUAGUGCACUACUUUUGACCAGGUCCCAUAGUGCUCUGUUCAAAAGUAGUGCACUUUAUAGGGAAUAGGGUGCCAUUUGGGCCAAAUAUAGGAUAAUUUGACUGUAGCCUUCUGCGUUGAGCAGAGACAACUUUUUCCUUGUUGGCACUUUAUCUGUUGGUUAGUAGGUGUUAUUAUAUUAUUGAACCUCUGGAGCCAUACGCUAUUGGGUUAGUCAGGCUGAUCAGCAAGUCUCAAUAAGGUGUUGGGAUCAACAAGUCUCAAUAAGGUGUUGGGAUCAACAAGUCUCAAUAAGGUGUUGGGUUAGUCAGACUGAUCAGCAAGUCUCAAUAAGGUGUUGGGUUAGUCAGACUGAUCAGAAAGUCUCAAUAAGGUGUUGGGUUAGUCAGACUGAUCAGCAAGUCUCAAUAAGGUGUUGGGUUAGUCAGGCUGAUCAACAAGUCUCAAUAAGGUGUUGGGUUAGUCAGACUGAUCAGCAAGUCUCAAUAAGGUGUUGGGUUAGUCAGGCUGAUCAACAAGUCUCAAUAAGGUGUUGGGUUAGUCAGGCUGAUCAGAAAGUCUCAAGCCUCAAACACCUUAGUAAUAUAUUCUGUCCAUGGACUCAUGUUACUCAUUUUCACUGGGGGGUGCGUCCCAAAUGUCAACUCAUUCUACAUUUGACCAGGGCCCAUAUGGGGGAAUAGGAAGUCAUUAAUGACCAGGGCCCAUAUGGGGGAAUAGGAAGUCAUUAAUGACCAGGGCCCAUAUGGGGGAAUAGGAAGUCAUUAAUGACCAGGGCCCAUAUGGGGGAAUAGUGUGUUCUCAGAAGGUGAAGCCAGUAGUGGCCUACUGGGCCGAGGCUUUGAUGUUGCUUUCCUGUGGCGUUACUUCUUUAUUUUAUCCUUGGUGGGGUUUAUUUUAUGUAAAUCAAGGAGACGUGCUUUUGAUUUGUCUGUUGAGUGUAAGGGGUUGUCCCAAAUGUCACCCUAUUCCCUAUGUAGUGCAUUACUAUGGGCCCUAUUCCCUAUGUAGUGCGCUACUAUGGGCCCUAUUCCCUAUGUAGUGCGCUACUAUGGGCCCUAUUCCCUAUGUAGUGCGCUACUAUGGGCCCUAUUCCCUAUGUAGUGCGCUACUAUGGGCCCUAUUCCCAAUGUAGUGCGCUACUAUGGGCCCUAUUCCCUAUGUAGUGCGCUACUAUGGGCCCUAUUCCCUAUGUAGUGCGCCACUAUGGGCCCUAUUCCCUAUGUAGUGCGCCACUAUGGGCCCUAUUCCCUAUGUAGUGCGCUACUGUGGGCCCUAUUCCCUAUGUAGUGCUCUACUAUGGGCCCUAUUCCCUAUGUAGUGCUCUACUAUGGGCCCUAUUCCCUAUGUAGUGCUCUACUAUGGGCCCUAUUCCCUAUGUAGUGCACUAUAAAUGGAAUAAGGUGCCAUUAGGGAGACAAGCCAUCUCAGAACAUACGCUGUUAAACCAUUGAGUACAUAACUGUGCUGUUACAUAUUUAUAUAAUUUGUAAGUAUGCAUAUUGUAAUUAUUUUAUAUUUGUAUACAUGCACUAGUUUAUAAGUGUGCAUUAUUUUUUCGGGACAUGAAUCAAACUGACGUGUAAAAAAGUUGAAAAAAAUAAAGUACUUUUUUUGUUAACCUGUCUCUGUCUGUUUGUCUGGUCUGUUUGUCUGGUCUGUUUGUCUGGUCUGUUUGUCUGGUCUGUUUGUCUGGUCUGUUUGUCUGGUUUGGUCUGUCUGGUCUGUCUGUCUGGUCUGGUCUGUUUGUCUGGUUUGGUCUGUUUGUCUGGUUUGGUCUGUCUGGUCUGUCUGUCUGGUCUGUCUGUGUCUGGUUUGGUCUGUUUGUCUGGUCUGUCUGUCGAUCUUUGGCCAGGAUUCAAUCCAAGGCACGUUACAGGUCGACACUCUAAACAGCCGACAACGCUCCUCUAAAGGCAAUGUCCCCAGCGUUCACGGAGAUCACAUUCAUG
RNAcentral lists this long non-coding RNA (2180 nucleotides) under Salmo salar (Atlantic salmon). Its description in RNAcentral is "lncRNA (ENSSSAG00000102842.1, ENSSSAG00000111594.1)". The record is from RNAcentral. Lineage: Eukaryota; Metazoa; Chordata; Actinopteri; Salmoniformes; Salmonidae.